CUAAUAACCAUGAACUCAUAACUCAUUCAGUUCAAGAGUUUUCAAAAGACCCACAUCAGGACUGGAUAAGUCUGUAUUCCUACGUGGUUGCAUUGUGCUUAUGCCAUGAAUGAUGUCAGAUCCAGAAAACAGAAGCCAAUGAAAACAGCAUAUUCUACAGCUACAAGUAAAUACUGUUCCUCUAAAUGCUUCUACACUCCUAACAACAUAUUGAAAAAAAUGAAAUAAUCAUCUCUAACUAGAGAGGUUUUCUCAGAAUCUUCACUUACUUUCUCUAUUUAUUUACCCAUUCAUUCUCAUUAACAGCUCUCAGAGUUCCGGGAUGCCACGAAGGAAAUGUAACAGGUGUGUAGAGAGAGAUAUCAGCAUCUAAGGAACAAAGAUUGCAUUUUCUUGAAUUCAUAAGCUGUUGAAAAGAAACUAUUAAUUGUCACAAAUAAAAUUUCCUAGAUAAUAGAUAUUCAAGUAACCUGUUUCACCUUUUCCCAUUUUUAAAUUUUUAUUUUUAUUUUCAUCCUAGAGUGCUAUUUGAAAAUGGGAUUUAAUACCAAGGCUUGACACUAAGAAGGAUGAUGGUGUGAGAUGGUUAGCAUAUGCUCACAUUUAGUCCAUCACUAGUUGCCACCUCCUCCACUGAAAGCUGGUUGAACCACCACCUUGAAGAAAGAAGUCUUUCAUUCAUCUAUGAAAAGUACUCUCAGAAACCUUUGAUACACUGGAUGGCAAGAUGUCUGAGGAUACAGAUAUGAGAGCCAAGCUCAACUCACUGCAUGCUUGUCUUUUCUAUGAGGGAGAUGAAGACUAAAAAUAUGCAUCAUCUCUUCCUGGUCUUGGUCACAUAAAAAGAAACUGCUUUAGUUCACUUCUAUUCUGAUGAGCAUAUAAAUGUACACAUGUAUAUGUUAUACAUACAAGAUAGAGGAAACACUGACUUGGUGGUGGUGGUGGGUUUUUGUCUGUAUAAUUAGAUGCAGAUGGUGUAAUCAUUCACUGUAGUAAAAUUGGAUUCUUCAUCUUUUUUCCCUGCACAGACUGCCUAUGCAUAUAGAGAUAAUUUUUGCCAUAAAUAUAAUAACUGAACACCUGAAAGCCCUUCAAUCUUUCAGAACUGAAAAAUAAAAAAAAAAAAUAAAAUCGGAAAUUCA
RNAcentral lists this long non-coding RNA (1145 nucleotides) under Anas platyrhynchos platyrhynchos (common mallard). RNAcentral describes it as "lncRNA (ENSAPLG00000026798.1)". Lineage: Eukaryota; Metazoa; Chordata; Aves; Anseriformes; Anatidae. The record is from RNAcentral.